UGGGGAAUCUUAGACAAUGGGCGCAAGCCUGAUCUAGCCAUGCCGCGUGAGUGAAGAAGGCCUUAGGGUCGUAAAGCUCUUUCGCCAGGGAUGAUAAUGACAGUACCUGGUAAAGAAACCCCGGCUAACUCCGUGCCAGCAGCCGCGGUAAUACGGAGGGGGUUAGCGUUGUUCGGAAUUACUGGGCGUAAAGCGCACGUAGGCGGAUUAGAAAGUUGGGGGUGAAAUCCCAGGGCUCAACCCUGGAACUGCCUUUAAAACUCCUAGUCUUGAGUUCGAGAGAGGUGAGUGGAAUUCCAAGUGUAGAGGUGAAAUUCGUAGAUAUUUGGAGGAACACCAGUGGCGAAGGCGGCUCACUGGCUCGAUACUGACGCUGAGGUGCGAAAGUGUGGGGAGCAAACAGGAUUAGAUACCCUGGUAGUCCACACCGUAAACGAUGAAUGCCAGUCGUCGGGUAGUAUACUAUUCGGUGACACACCUAACGGAUUAAGCAUUCCGCCUGGGGAGUACGGUCGCAAGAUUA
RNAcentral lists this ribosomal RNA (523 nucleotides) under uncultured Alphaproteobacteria bacterium. RNAcentral describes it as "bacterial SSU rRNA". It matches the Rfam family "Bacterial small subunit ribosomal RNA", at positions 355 to 896 of the family's 1533-position model. Lineage: Bacteria; Pseudomonadati; Pseudomonadota; Alphaproteobacteria. The record is from RNAcentral.